Small nucleolar RNA from Pygocentrus nattereri (red-bellied piranha), 131 nucleotides. Ensembl annotates it as Small nucleolar RNA SNORA31. The record is from Ensembl. NCBI's taxonomy places the organism in Eukaryota, Metazoa, Chordata, Actinopteri, Characiformes, Serrasalmidae.
UGGCAUCCUCUGAUAGACCUUCUGCCAUUAUCAGUGGCCUCUAGGUUUGCACUAGGAUGCAACAACAAUCUUCCUUGUACUUUCUAACUGUCUGUAAAGUGGCAGUAGUGAUUGAAGUAAGGAGAAUAAAC